This 472-nucleotide ribosomal RNA is filed under the name uncultured bacterium. Its description in RNAcentral is "partial 16S ribosomal RNA". It matches the Rfam family "Bacterial small subunit ribosomal RNA", at positions 28 to 507 of the family's 1533-position model. The record is from RNAcentral.
GACGAACGCUGGCGGCGUGCUUAACACAUGCAAGUCGAACGAUGAACCCGGAGCUUUCUUUGUGGGAUUAGUGGCGAACGGGUGAGUAACACGCGAGUAACCUGCCCUGGACUCUGGGAUAAGCGUUGGAAACGCCGUCUCAUACCGGAUAUGAUCUUGUAUCCCAUGUUCUUGGGUGGAAAGUUUUUUCGGUCUGGUAUGUCCUCGCGGCCUCUCAGCUUGUUGGUGAGGUAAUUGCUCACCCAGGCGUCGACGGGUAGCCUGCCUGAGAGGGAGACCGGCCACGGUGCAAAUGAGACAGGGAGGAGACAGUAGCGGGAGGCAGCAGAGGGGAAUAUGGCACAAGGAGCAAAAGCCUGAGGGAGCAAAGCCGCGUGCGGGAUGACAGCCUUCGUGUUGUAGACCGCUUUUAGUAGGGAAGAAGGGGUACGGCUUGACGGUACCUGCAGAGAAAGGAACGGCUAACUACGUG